Molecule: unclassified non-coding RNA, 907 nt
Filed under: Bombus terrestris (buff-tailed bumblebee)
Lineage: Eukaryota; Metazoa; Arthropoda; Insecta; Hymenoptera; Apidae
Description: misc RNA ENSBTSG00005024562.1
Source: RNAcentral
UAUCGAGUUCUUCUCUUUGAGUUUUCAUCGUCAUGCACUCGAAAGAGAGCAUGACAAUUUGUUCAUCUAGUUACAAGUGUACACUAUACACGCUCGUACAGAGUCGUAUUUUAUUAUCGUCGGUUACGAUACACGGAUUUGUAAGGAUCGAGCGUUCCACUUGACAUUUCUAUUUUUUCCCCGGUACGAGUUGCGGAGGCGGUAAUUGUUUGCUGGGCACGCUUAAUGUGGAACAUCGUUGCGAAAGUUAUACCACUAGAAAAAAAUUUAUCUCGAUUUACAAUCUGAUAGUACGAUAAAUGAGAACACAAUGUAUGUCGUUUGUAAUGAAGACAAACGAAACCAGUUCAUUGAGUGGAACAUUUGGAAGAAUCUGCACGCGACAAGGUUUAUCUUCCACAAUUUCACGAAAUUCCAACGUGAGCGACGUGUGUAAUUAUAGAAGUCAAGUACAAGUUCCAAAGUUUGGGAUCAAGCUAAUUCGGUAAAUUGCGAUGUAUAAUUUAUCUCAGAGUAUAAACUGUACUUAGGAAGAAGUUUAACCCUUUAAGUUACAUAGACGCAUGUAUAUAUGGACCUCCAUCGCUUUGGCAAAAUUCCAUCAUAGACUAUGUACCAAUUUGUUACCAAAAAAUAUACUUGUAUCUACUGUAUGCAAUUUCACACAGUAUUUAAAACAAUGUAUUAGCGCAAAACAUAUUUUGGAUUAUGAAAUUUAAAGUAUUCGAUAUUUCUAGAUGGAUUUGCAAUUUUUAUAAAAAUUACACAACUGGUUACGAUGAUGCAACUAACUUUUGUAAAAUAUAUGGCUAAAAUCUUCUUUUCAUUUGCCAUACAUUUCUCACGUGUUUUUCAUUUUUACCUUAUUUCUUACAAGUUCCAUUUUCUCUGGCCAUUGGCAGUGUUA